Molecule: ribosomal RNA, 457 nt
Filed under: uncultured bacterium
Lineage: Bacteria
Description: partial 16S ribosomal RNA
Rfam family: Bacterial small subunit ribosomal RNA
Source: RNAcentral
CCUACGGGAGUCUGCAGUGGGGAAUAUUGCACAAUGGGGGAAACCCUGAUGCAGCGACGCCGCGUGAGUGAAGAAGUAUUUCGGUAUGUAAAGCUCUAUCAGCAGGGAAGAAAUAAAGUCCUUCGGACUUUGGACGGUACCUGACUAAGAAGCCCCGGCUAACUACGUGCCAGCAGCCGCGGUAAUACGUAGGGGGCAAGCGUUAUCCGGAUUUACUGGGUGUAAAGGGAGCGUAGACGGCGAGGCAAGUCUGGAGUGAAAGCCCGGGGCUCAACCCCGGGACUGCUUUGGAAACUGCCUGGCUGGAGUGCUGGAGAGGCAAGCGGAAUUCCGAGUGUAGCGGUGAAAUGCGUAGAUAUUAGGAAGAACACCAGUGGCGAAGGCGGCUUGCUGGACAGUAACUGACGUUGAGGCUCGAAAGCGUGGGGAGCAAACAGGAUUAGAUACCCGGGUAGUC